UAGUGUCUCGUUAACUGCUAUGGUUG
Molecule: non-coding RNA, 26 nt
Filed under: Mus musculus (house mouse)
Lineage: Eukaryota; Metazoa; Chordata; Mammalia; Rodentia; Muridae
Source: RNAcentral